CCAUGCUGUAACGGCGUCAGGUCUCUCAACAGCGCCGCCAGAACCACCCGUGACCGCCAAGCUGCAUGCAACUGCUUGAAACAAGCUUACGGAACAAUCCGCGGCAUCAACCCUAAUGUUGCCGCUGGCCUUCCUCGUCAAUGUGGAGUCAACAUUCCUUACAAGAUCAGCCCCGCCACUGACUGCUCUAGGUAUGUUAAUCAAUUACUCCACCCUCUUUAAUUCUUUUUGUUUUUAUUUAUUUUUUCAAUUUUCUGAUUGUUAAUUAUGUAAUUCUUAAUUAGAAUUUUGUUUUUCAUGUUUCUGUGAUGCAGGGUCAGGUGAAGUUGAGUUUGAGCUCUGUGACUUUCCAAGUAUGAUUGACUGAGAAGAAUAAAUAAAUAAAGAAUAUCUAUGUUAAUUUCUUUGUCCGAACGAGUCUCCACUUGUGUGAGUCUCACUCUCAUGUCAUGUUUGUAUCUUUGCUUUUAAUAUCAUAUUAAAUAUGUAAACGUGAUCUGUGUUUUGAGUGAUUAAUUCUAGUUAUUUUGUGGUAUUAUCUUAAAAAUUCUCCCUUAUUUUAUGUCCCUCUCUAUCAUUUUGAAUCAUGAGAGAAUCUCAAACCAUUGUUUGUUAUGUUCUAAAGUCAUGGAGACAGUGCCACCAAUUCCUCAUCAUACUACAAAGACAAUUCCAAUUCCAAAUCUAAUUAUUACAAAGACAGUUCCCAAUCCUCUAAUUCAAGCUAACACAAUAUCUAUAUAGACAAGAAAUAGAAAUUGACAAAAGGGUUCUAACAGUUUUUAAUCCUAAGUAUUGACCGAGAAAUAAAUAAAUAAAUAAAUAAAUAUGUUAAUUUCUUUGUCCGAAUGAAUCUCUACUUGUGCGAGUCUCACUCUCAUGUCAUGCUGUAUCUUUGCUUUUUAUGUCAUAUUAAAUAUGUAAUCGUGAUCUGUGUUUUGAGUAAUGAAUUAUAAUUAUUUUGUGGUAUUAUAUUAUAAAUUCUCUCUUAUUUUAUGUUGACGACAUCUCUAUAUCAUUUUACAUCAUCAGAGAAUCUCGAUUCAAUAAGCAUUAUGUUCUAAAGUCAUGGAGAGUGUACCGUAAUUCCUAAUCAUACUGCAAAAACAAUUCCUAUUCCAAAUCUAAUUAUUAUAAAGAAAAUUCCUAAUUACCAGCAAGCGCGUACAUCAGCUGUUAUGAGACUGUUCUAACUUAACCAAAAUCAUCGAUUCAAGGUUUAAGAAUGCAGCUGCGUUAAAUACUUGUUGGGAGAGCUUUGCCGCCCUAGUAGUCCUACCCGACUUGAAUCUAGAUUAGUUGAGACCUAAUGUGAUUUUCGGAUACCAGAUGAUUUAAUAUACAAAAAAAAAAAGACAAUUCCCAAUCCUCUAAUUCAAGCUAACACAAUAUCUAAUUCCUAUAUAUAUAUAGACAAAAAAUAGGAAUUAACAAAAUGGUUCUAACAGUUUUUAAUCCUACAGUAUUGAUCGGUAAAAUGUACUUUUAUCAAAAUACUAAUUAGCUGAAGAAUUGUUGUUAGUCGAGGUUAGAUUAUCUCAUUGACAAAUGUAAUAUUACACAAUUAAUAAUAAAAAAAGUGAAAAUAAAAACCUUCAAAGUAGUUUGAGACACUAUAAUUAAUUCAUAACAAACCAAUUGGUAUAGGUGCGUGUGAUUGCAUUCGCCGGUAGGGUGGAGCCGUGGAGGGCCCUUAGGAUGGACUUUGAUCUCUAUUUUGUAAUGGGGAAAAUCGAAAAAAAAAAAAAUCAUGAAGUUGCAAUCUAAAAUUAUACUCAAGCCCCCCAAUAAUUUUCAUUUACUCCCCAGUAAAUCACACUCAAGUCCCAAUUCCAAUUGCUUAUGGUUAUAUAAUUAUAAUUAAAAGAAGCGAGCCCUUAAAUAUUAAAGUAGAUUUUGAUUUUUUUAAAUGAUCCACAAAUCUGUGAUACAACAGAGCAUCGCUUUAACAAUAGCUUUUAGCUAAUUAAUUUUUCAUUUUUUUCAUUUUCGACAGUUUCGACUUUCGAGCCUGUCGGCAGGAUUGUGAUUAAGGCCCAGCCCGGCCUUCGAACAAAAAGUACAGAGCCCGGCCCGGAGCUUGGACAUCAAAAUAAAAAAUUUAGUAUUUUCUUUGUGGUACAUACUUUAGUUAGUUACUAUAUACACCGGCCCAAAAAUUUGAUUAUUCCUUUAAACCUAGCCCAACUGCUCAUUCAUUGUGAAAUUAUAUGCACUUGUACUAUUAGGAGCCCAUUAACAAAAUUAUUUGUUACUAGUUGGUACCUUAAGUUAAUUUCUAUAAAUUAUUUAUUUCUAAUUUUUCUCCUUAAGUGUCAUAAUUUCUAUCUAGAAAAGCUUAAAUCAGUAACACUAAGACAUGUUAUAAAGUGACCAAAAAAAAACAUUAAUUUUAAUAGCAUAGACAUGCGGCCCUGGGCCUGCCCGCGAGCCCAAUCGCUGGGUGUGCAAAAGGAACGCCCGACCCGAACUUGUACUAUCCCUAAAUUAAAUCACAAGCGACAAACUACUACAUUUUCUAUUUUCUUUUGCUUGUAUUUUGUUCACGACCCGAUCUUGUACUAUCCCUAAAUUAAAUCACAAGUGACAAACUACUACAUUUUCGAUUCUCUUUUUACUUGUAUUUAGUUCACUAAUAUUUGCCACUCGGCCAAAUAAGUGAGGGCAGCUGUUUGACCCCAUAAACACAUUAUUGGAGAUUUAUUCCUUCCUCUGUUAUUAAUAAUUGAGUGGAGUGAAUAUUUUUUAAAUAUUAGUGAUGAUAAAAUUAUAGACGGUGUUUUAUAAGAAUUGAUAUAAAUUAAUUUCAAUAAUAAUUUAAUUUAUAAAUAUCAAUUGUAGUCUCAUAUAAUAUGAGUUGUAAUAUUGAAAAAUAAUCUCAUAUAAUAAAAAAUAUUUACUAAUAUUUAGUUUUACAUAUAUGUAAUUAUGUAUAUACAGAUUUAAUGUGUGAAAAUUUAUUUGAUUGUACCGAUGCAAUUAAUAAUAUUUCAUUUCAUUUCAAUAUAGUAACCUACACAAAUACUGGGAUGGUUGAGAUUAGAAGGCAAUUUUUCGGAGAAAUGUUUAAUUUAAAUGUGUAUAUUUAAUGUUUUUCAAGCAAUUUAUUUUAUUUUAAUAAAAGGGGGCAAUCAAAAAGCCAUCCAUAUCAAUGUUCUUCGGCCUCAGCCUCGGCCAGUUAGGCACCAAAUGUUGACAGAGUCCCAUUCUGUUCCCAUGCUCAGGCACAGCGAAUUAUUACAAUUAAUUUGACGAGACUUUUACGUACGAGAUCUGACAACUCCAUCAGACUGCUGCCAAGUGUCCACAUGCUUGCACCUGUUAAAAUCUCUCAUCUCCGUCGGUGGCUGCCUCGGAUUCUGUGCUUCUUCUCUCCAAACUUCAGAGACGUGCUUAUUCAAGGCAAAUGCUAUGUUACAAUUAAUGUAACAUACACACUCAACAACAACCACAUAAAUUAUGUGGGUUUAUCAUUUGUGUGGUUGUUGUUGAGUGUGUAUGUUACAUUAAUUGUAACAUAGGGACUCCCGCUUAUUCAAAACAUUGAACCGAAAGUUAAUUAAAGUUACAGCAUGUGCGGUAAGAAAUGAACAUGGUUGUUGUUUUUUUAUUAUUAAAUAAAUAAUUUGUGAGAGAUCCAUUUUUUUGGGGUUAAUAUAUAAUUGUUAAAAAUAAAACAUACAAUUAAAUAAAAAUAAAGGUGCCACAAAACUACGGGCCAUGGAAAUUGCAAUAAAGAAAAUAAUUAAUUUUCCUCUCUCUCCCCUUUUUUUGCCUGAGAGGAAGAGGCAAUUCUUAUUUCUUAAUAUUCUUUUCUGAUUUUUUUCCAACGUAGGAGCAGCAAAAAUUACAAAUUAAUUUUUUAAUUUCUAUCGAAUUAACACAACUAUGCUAUGAUAUUAUAAAGACACGUGUAUGCCCCUCGUAAAAUUUUGUUCAAGUCAUAAAUUUGUGAGGUAGCACAUUUAUGAUCCGGCAAUUACAUGCAGUCUGCCGAAAACUUAGCUGUGCAUGUUCCGUCCCAUCCUUCUACAGUUUCUCCUCGCAAUUUUAAAAGCAAGUCUGCACACGGAAUUAACUCUUGGUUAAAAAUUCAAAAGGAACAUGUAUAGUUACUGUACUAACAAUAAAAUUUUAACAAAUUUCAAUUUUAAUUUUUGAGCUAUUUUCUAGAAUAAAUUCAGCUCGCGAAUUAUUUUACAUGAUAUUCGAGUUAAACUCACUAUUCUUUUUACCUAGCAAGAACCAGACUAAAGAAAUAUUCAACAUUAGUUGAGAUAAAUUAUCAAGCUAAAAAUAUAAAUUUGAAACUCUCAGCUAAUUAGUUUAAUUAUGAGUUGAGCUCAUGAGUAUCUACUAAAAUGGCGCUCUCAAAUUAAGCCGAAGAGUUGGAUCAUUUAAUUUUCAUCUAUGUCCUUAUCCAUUACCUAAUCUUUACUCGAUAGUGAGACUCGUGUGGAAUGUUCUAUAUGAAAAUAUGCAAUAAAUAAUCAUAUCAUAUAUUCGAAGUUUAUUUUUCGUUCUUACCUUUGUGAUGGUUAAUUAUUUCUAAAAGAAUGUGUGUGUGUGUGCGCGUGCGUGUGUGAAGAGAUAUUAUUGACUGAAUAUAAAUUUAUCUGUCUCCUUCGAAAAUAUUUCUAACUUUGCAUGCUGCCCCGUGAUUUGAUUGAAUAUUCAUGAAGGACAAAAAAAUUAUCUUAUGUUAAUAUUGUAAUUUCAGUUCUUGAAGGAAGAUAAACUUGUUCAUAAUAUUGCAAACAAAAGACAUUCUUUGCUUUCGCUAUAGUGUAUACGUAAACCAGUCGGCUCCGACUCCCCCCAUCACAUGAUUUUUGGACUAUAUGUUUAUGAAAUCAAACCUGGAUACUAUAUGAAUUUUCAUCUGCCUUCUUUUUAACAUGCAUUUUCUUAGAAAAGAAUAACACAAAUUGUAGGCACAUUCAUGCGUAUCUAAUUCCCAUUUUAAUUAAUGGCUUUCAACGUCCAGGAUGUGACGAUCAAAAAGUCCAAAAAUGUCGUUGAAAAUCGCACCGGUCGAAAAGGAAAGAGAAAGGCAUCAAAUGCAAUAUUGAAUUAUUUCAACAACCAACUAACCAGUACAGUAGUCUCUCUUUAAAGCUUCUAUAUAAACACUAGCCCUUAACACACUUUCACUCACUCAACUCAAGCUUCUGAACACAGCUAGCCAUAAACAAAGGCAAAAAAAAAAAAAAGAAAAAGAAAAUCUCAGGAGAAAUCUCAAAUGGCUGCCCUCAAGCUUGUUUCAGCUUUGGUUCUGUGCAUGUUGGUGACUGGUCCCCUGAGUGCUCAGGCCAUAACAUGUGGGCAGGUGAGUGGCUCAUUGGCACCAUGCAUCGGUUUCUUGAGAUCGGGCGGCCCUAUACCUAUGCCAUGCUGCAACGGCGUCAGGUCUCUCAACGCUGCCGCCAGAACCACACCUGACCGCCAAACUGCAUGCAACUGCUUGAAGCAAGCCGCCAGAUCAAUCCCUAGCCUCAACCUUAAUAAUGCUGCUGGUCUUCCAGGAGCUUGUGGAGUCAGCAUUCCUUACAAGAUCAGCACCUCCACUGACUGCUCUAAGU
RNAcentral lists this long non-coding RNA (5582 nucleotides) under Citrus maxima (pomelo). RNAcentral describes it as "long non-coding RNA (CMAX_LNC002813)". Lineage: Eukaryota; Viridiplantae; Streptophyta; Magnoliopsida; Sapindales; Rutaceae. The record is from RNAcentral.